This is a non-coding RNA of Salmo salar (Atlantic salmon), 54 nucleotides long. The record is from Rfam. Lineage: Eukaryota; Metazoa; Chordata; Actinopteri; Salmoniformes; Salmonidae.
ACAAGGCACUAAAGUAAGUCGCUCUGGAUAAGAGCGUCUGCUAAAUGACUUAAA